GAUGAACGCUGGCGGCGUGCUUAACACAUGCAAGUCGAACGGUGAAGCCCAGCUUGCUGGGUGGAUUCGUGGCGAAAGGGUGAGUAUAACGUGAGUAUCAUGUGCUUAACUCUGUGAUAUGACUGGGAAACUGGGUCUAAUAUAGGAUAGGAGCGCUUACCGCACGGUGGGUGUUGGAAAGAUUUAUCGGUUUUGGAUGGACUCGCGGCUUAUCUGCUUGUUGGUGUGGUAGUGGCUCACCAAGGCGCCGACGGGUAGCCGGCCUGAGAGGGUGACCGGCCACACUGGGACUGAGACACGGCCCAGACUCCUACGGGAGGCAGCAGUGGGGAAUAUUGCACAAUGGGCGAAAGCCUGAUGCAGCAACGCCGCGUGAGGGAUGACGGCCUUCGGGUUGUAAACCGCUUUCGGUAGGGAAGAAGCGAGAGUGACGGUACCUGCAAAAGAAGCACCGGCUAACUACGUG
Molecule: ribosomal RNA, 466 nt
Filed under: uncultured bacterium
Lineage: Bacteria
Description: partial 16S ribosomal RNA
Rfam family: Bacterial small subunit ribosomal RNA
Source: RNAcentral